AUUGAACGCUGGCGGCAUGCCUUACACAUGCAAGUCGAACGGCAGCGCGGGAGCAAUCCUGGCGGCGAGUGGCGAACGGGUGAGUAAUAUAUCGGAACGUGCCCAGUAGUGGGGGAUAGCCCGGCGAAAGCCGGAUUAAUACCGCAUGAGACCUGAGGGUGAAAGCGGGGGAUCGCAAGACCUCGCGCUACUGGAGCGGCCGAUAUCAGAUUAGCUAGUUGGUGGGGUAAAGGCCUACCAAGGCAACGAUCUGUAGUUGGUCUGAGAGGACGACCAGCCACACUGGGACUGAGACACGGCCCAGACUCCUACGGGAGGCAGCAGUGGGGAAUUUUGGACAAUGGGCGCAAGCCUGAUCCAGCAAUGCCGCGUGCAGGAAGAAGGCCUUCGGGUUGUAAACUAGCUUUGUUCUAGGGAAGGAAAUACCCUUGGG
RNAcentral lists this ribosomal RNA (433 nucleotides) under uncultured bacterium. RNAcentral's name for it is "bacterial SSU rRNA". It matches the Rfam family "Bacterial small subunit ribosomal RNA", at positions 29 to 467 of the family's 1533-position model. The record is from RNAcentral.